UACAUAGGGGGCGAGCGUUGUCCGGAAUGAUUGGGCGUAAAGGGCGUGUAGGCGGCUUGUCAAGUCUAUCGUGAAAUACCUCUUUUUAAGGGAGGGGUUGCGGUGGAAACUGAUGAGCUUGAGUGCGGAAGAGGUAAGUGGAAUUCCCAGUGUAGCGGUGAAAUGCGUAGAUAUUGGGAGGAACACCAGUGGCGAAGGCGACUUACUGGGCCGCAACUGACGCUGAGGCGCGAGAGCGUGGGGAGCAAACAGGAUUAGAUACCCUGGUAGU
RNAcentral lists this ribosomal RNA (271 nucleotides) under uncultured prokaryote. Its description in RNAcentral is "partial 16S ribosomal RNA". It matches the Rfam family "Bacterial small subunit ribosomal RNA", at positions 524 to 794 of the family's 1533-position model. The record is from RNAcentral.